RNAcentral lists this ribosomal RNA (828 nucleotides) under Triticum aestivum (bread wheat). RNAcentral describes it as "partial small subunit ribosomal RNA". The record is from RNAcentral. Lineage: Eukaryota; Viridiplantae; Streptophyta; Magnoliopsida; Poales; Poaceae.
AUGCGUCCAUCUCAGGACCUCCGGCUGGCCGUGCUCCUCCUUUUGUCAGCCUCCGUCCUCCUCCCCACAGCCAGAGCCCAGCAGGAAACCGAGGAGGAGGAGGAGUUCAGCUACUCGCUGGACGCAGAGAAUGGGCCGGCGCACUGGGGCGACAUCAAGGAGGAGUGGUCCGCGUGCGGCAAGGGCAACAUGCAGUCGCCCAUCGACCUCGCCAGCCCGCGCGUCUCCCUCGUGCGCGGCCUCGGCUACCUCAACCACUCCUACGCCCCAGCCAACGCCACCAUCGUCAACCGCGGCCACGACAUCAUGCUCAAGUUCGAGGGCGACGCCGGGAGCGUCUCCAUCGGUGGCACGCCCUACUUCCUCCGGCAGUUGCACUGGCACUCCCCCACGGAGCACAGUGUCAACGGCCGCCGGUACGACAUGGAGCUACACAUGUUCCAUGAGAGCACCGAGGGCAAGGCCGCCGUCAUCGGCAUCUUCUACGAAAUCGGUGCCCACGACGCCUUCCUGCACAAGCUGGAGCCAUACCUGGAAAUGAUAGCGGAUCGGAAGGACAGGGAGGAGAAGAUGGGGAUGAUGGACCCGAGGGGCGCCCGGGGCAAGGCCAGCGUCUACUACCGCUACCUGGGCUCCCUCACCACCCCGCCCUGCUCAGAAGGGGUCAUCUGGACCAUAGUCAAGAGGGUGCGCACUGUGUCGAGGCACCAGCUGGAGCUUCUUAGGGAGGCUGUUCAUGAUGACAUGGAGAAGAACGCGAGGCCCCGUCAGGAGGUGAACAGCAGAGAUAUCAGCAUGUUCCGGCCUUUUGAGCAAAAUAGACAUUGA